GAUGAACGCUGGCGGCGUGCCUAAUACAUGCAAGUCGAGCGAACAGAUGAGGAGCUUGCUCCUCUGACGUUAGCGGCGGACGGGUGAGUAACACGUGGAUAACCUACCUAUAAGACUGGGAUAACUUCGGGAAACCGGAGCUAAUACCGGAUAAUAUAUUGAACCGCAUGGUUCAAUAGUGAAAGACGGUUUUGCUGUCACUUAUAGAUGGAUCCGCGCCGCAUUAGCUAGUUGGUAAGGUAACGGCUUACCAAGGCAACGAUGCGUAGCCGACCUGAGAGGGUGAUCGGCCACACUGGAACUGAGACACGGUCCAGACUCCCACGGGAGGCAGCAGUAGGGAAUCUUCCGCAAUGGGCGAAAGCCUGACGGAGCAACGCCGCGUGAGUGAUGAAGGUCUUCGGAUCGUAAAACUCUGUUAUUAGGGAAGAACAAAUGUGUAAGUAACUAUACACGUCUUGACGGUACCUAAUCAGAAAGCCACGGCUAACUACGUG
Molecule: ribosomal RNA, 497 nt
Filed under: uncultured bacterium
Lineage: Bacteria
Description: partial 16S ribosomal RNA
Rfam family: Bacterial small subunit ribosomal RNA
Source: RNAcentral